UACGGGGGGGGGCAAGCGUUGUUCGGAAUUACUGGGCGUAAAGGGCUCGUAGGCGGCCAACUAAGUCGGACGUGAAAUCCCCAGGCUCAACCUGGGAACUGCGUCCGAUACUGGAUGGCUUGAAUUCAGGAGAGGGAUGCAGAAUUCCAGGUGUAGCGGUGAAAUGCGUAGAUAUCUGGAGGAAUACCGGUGGCGAAGGCGGCAUCCUGGACCGACAUUGACGCUGAGGAGCGAAAGCUAGGGGAGCAAACGGG
RNAcentral lists this ribosomal RNA (254 nucleotides) under uncultured bacterium. RNAcentral describes it as "partial 16S ribosomal RNA". It matches the Rfam family "Bacterial small subunit ribosomal RNA", at positions 524 to 776 of the family's 1533-position model. The record is from RNAcentral.